Molecule: ribosomal RNA, 515 nt
Filed under: uncultured bacterium
Lineage: Bacteria
Description: partial 16S ribosomal RNA
Rfam family: Bacterial small subunit ribosomal RNA
Source: RNAcentral
GAUGAACGCUGGCGGCGUGCCUAAUACAUGCAAGUCGAGCGAAUGGAUUAAGAGCUUGCUCUUAUGAAGUUAGCGGCGGACGGGUGAGUAACACGUGGGUAACCUGCCCAUAAGACUGGGAUAACUCCGGGAAACCGGGGCUAAUACCGGAUAACAUUUUGAACCGCAUGGUUCGAAAUUGAAAGGCGGCUUCGGCUGUCACUUAUGGCUGGACCCGCGUCGCAUUAGCUAGUUGGUGAGGUAACGGCUCACCAAGGCAACGAGGGGUAGCCGACCUGAGAGGGUGAUCGGCCACACUGGGACUGAGACACGGCCCAGACUCCUACGGGAGGCAGCAGUAGGGAAUCUUCCGCAAUGGACGAAAGUCUGACGGAGCAACGCCGCGUGAGUGAUGAAGGCUUUCGGGUCGUAAAACUCUGUUGUUAGGGAAGAACAAGUGCUAGUUGAAUAAGCUGGCACCUUGACGGUACCUAACCAGAAAGCCACGGCUAACUACGUGCCAGCAGCCGCCGUAA